This is a long non-coding RNA of Sander lucioperca (pikeperch), 1131 nucleotides long. RefSeq lists it as uncharacterized. The transcript is spliced from 4 exons. Lineage: Eukaryota; Metazoa; Chordata; Actinopteri; Perciformes; Percidae. The record is from RefSeq and is a predicted model, not a curated record.
UCAGGUGGUCAAUCCCUCACUCAGUGGUGUUGAGACGAACACUAGCUUAAAGCUAUCUUAGCUGCUUCUAAUGGAGCACACGUUGAUAUGGAAACACUUUCAUUAAGGUUGUAACUAAAUGAUGUCCGGAGGAAAAGAAGAGGAGUUCAAAUUCUGCCGUCACUCUCUCUCAAAGAUAGAAAUGCUCCCGCGCUUUUCUUCCGAAGUAACGUCAGCUAACGUGGACAAACAUGGCUGCCAAUUAACGUUAGCCUGGCCCUAGCUGUCUAUGGGCCCUCCUAGUAGCCAGCCCGGAAUCGCCCAUGCACUACCACCACCGCCAGCUGUGGAGGACGCAGUACAGUAAUGUGCAUCGCGGCAGCAUCAAUAACGGUAGAGCGGAGCGGUUCCCGGAUGUUCACCUUUCCGUCCAUUCUCCAAAGUUGACUCCAUUUUUGCAGAGCGGUAGCGUAAAGGUUCUUCUAAACACUGGCAUCAUUGUUGCUGACACACCCUGAACCAUUGGACUACGAGCGUCGUGCAGUUAUCAAAGGUGUCCGAGAUGUUCCUGGAGAUUUUCUCACCACCGUCCACAAUCUGUUUAAAGUUUCUCCAGCUGACCCACCAACUCCCAGGACCUAAAGUGGGCGUCCAACAUCGACACAGUAAUCAAAAAGGCCCAGCAGAGGAUGUACUUCCUGCGCCAGCUCAGAACCUGCUUUAGGAGCUGAUGCUCCAGUUCUACACUGCAAUAAUCAAGUCUCUUGCAGACCCAUUACUCCCUGGACACAACCUGUUCCAACUUCUCCCCUCUUGUAGGCACAACAAAACACUGUAUGCCAAAACAAAGUUUCUUCCUACAGGCCAUCACUCUGAUGAACAGUUAACAUAAGUUCAAUCACACUAUAUAUAUUUUUUUGUUUUUAUCGUACAUGUCACUGUCAAAAUGAAAACCCAAGCUGCUGUGUGUAUAUAUACUGACAUGUAUAUGCAUUUUCACGUCAUGUUUAUAAAGCAACCUGUUACAUUAACCAUUCAAUAUUUAUUCCACUACUGUGUUAUUGUUUACAAUUGACAGAAACAGUCUGACAUUGCAUGUUGUAUUGUGUGUGUAUAUAUCAAUAAAGCUGCUGUACUGUUCUGUUUUUUUUU